GCAAGUCGAGCGAGAAUUGUUGGAAUGAUCCUUCGGGUGAGUGAAGACGAGGAAAGCGGCGGACGGGUGAGUAACGCGUGGGAAACCUGCCCUAUGUAUGGGGAUAGCCAUUGGAAACGAUGAUUAAUACCCAAUAAGACCACGAAGUCGCAUGACUUAGUGGUAAAAAUUCAGGUGACAUAGGAUGGUCCCGCGUCUGAUUAGCUAGUUGGUAGGGUAAAGGCCUACCAAGGCGACGAUAAGUAGCCGGCCUGAGAGGGUGACC
Molecule: ribosomal RNA, 265 nt
Filed under: uncultured bacterium
Lineage: Bacteria
Description: partial 16S ribosomal RNA
Rfam family: Bacterial small subunit ribosomal RNA
Source: RNAcentral